Molecule: ribosomal RNA, 119 nt
Filed under: Salmo salar (Atlantic salmon)
Lineage: Eukaryota; Metazoa; Chordata; Actinopteri; Salmoniformes; Salmonidae
Source: RNAcentral
GCUUACGGCCAUACCAGCCUGGGUACGCCCGAUCUCGUCUGAUCUCGGAAGCUAAGCAGGGUCGGGCCUGGUUAGUACUUGGAUGGGAGACCGCCUGGGUAUACCAGGUGCUGUAAGCA